GACGAACGCUGGCGGCGUGCUUAACACAUGCAAGUCGAACGGAAAGGCCCUGCUUUUGUGGGGUGCUCGAGUGGCGAACGGGUGAGUAACACGUGAGUAACCUGCCCUUGACUUUGGGAUAACUUCAGGAAACUGGGGCUAAUACCGGAUAGGAGCUCCUGCUGCAUGGUGGGGGCUGGAAAGUUUCGGCGGUUGGGGAUGGACUCGCGGCUUAUCAGCUUGUUGGUGGGGUAGUGGCUUACCAAGGCUUUGACGGGUAGCCGGCCUGCGAGGGUGACCGGCCACGUUGGGACGGGGAUACGGCCCAGACUCCUACGGGAGGCAGCAGUGGGGAAUAUUGCACAAUGGGCGGAAGCCUGAUGCAGCAACGCCGCGUGCGGGAUGACGGCCUUCGGGUUGUAAACCGCUUUCGCCUGUGACGAAGCGUGAGUGACGGUAAUGGGUAAAGAAGCACCGGCUAACUACGUG
RNAcentral lists this ribosomal RNA (468 nucleotides) under uncultured bacterium. Its description in RNAcentral is "partial 16S ribosomal RNA". It matches the Rfam family "Bacterial small subunit ribosomal RNA", at positions 28 to 507 of the family's 1533-position model. The record is from RNAcentral.